Molecule: long non-coding RNA, 367 nt
Organism: Grammomys surdaster
Lineage: Eukaryota; Metazoa; Chordata; Mammalia; Rodentia; Muridae
Exons: 2
Source: RefSeq, a predicted model, not a curated record
UAAGCAGAAUGACCGCCAGCUCAUGAGUCAAUAAUGUGACAUGUCCAUACGGUGGAUUAAAAGGCAUAAAACGGAAUGUGUGGACACAUGCUUCUACAUGGAUGACACUGGAAAGCAUCAUGCUGAGUCAAGGAAGCCAGACAAACCAGACCACAUCGACAUAUUUUUAUGGGAUAACCAAACGGAGGUUUAAAGACAUGGAAGGCAACUUGAGUAACAUGUCUCGAAUGCCAGAAGCGACAGAGACAGCUGAAAUUCCUGAACACACACGAGCGACUUCUCAAGGGGUCUGAGCAGUGCUGGGCAAAGAUGGAAUGGCUCUAGCCCAUGUCUUCACUUUUGAAAUAAAGCUUCACACCAAACAAUA